RNAcentral lists this ribosomal RNA (275 nucleotides) under uncultured Gemmatimonas sp. Its description in RNAcentral is "partial 16S ribosomal RNA". It matches the Rfam family "Bacterial small subunit ribosomal RNA", at positions 338 to 614 of the family's 1533-position model. Lineage: Bacteria; Pseudomonadati; Gemmatimonadota; Gemmatimonadia; Gemmatimonadales; Gemmatimonadaceae. The record is from RNAcentral.
CCUACGGGUGGCUGCAGUGGGGAAUAUUGCGCAAUGGACGAAAGUCUGACGCAGCGACGCCGCGUGUGGGAUGAAGCUCUUCGGGGUGUAAACCACUGUUGCCCGGGACGAAAUGCCCUUUCGAGGGAAUUGACGGUACCGGGUGAGGAAGCACCGGCUAACUCUGUGCCAGCAGCCGCGGUAAUACAGAGGGUGCGAGCGUUGUCCGGAAUCACUGGGCGUAAAGGGCGCGUAGGUGGCUUGGUAAGCGUGUGGUGAAAGUCCGGGGCUCAACC